CAGUAUUAUUUAUACGUUAUGUUUUUUAUUAUUUAUUUUAUUUUAUUUUGUUUUUGUUUUUUACUUUUGUUGGCUAUCAAUAUUUUGGCUUGUUGGGUCGAUUGAUAAGGUAUGUAUAUGUAUACAUAUAUAUUUAUUUAUAUAUAUAUGGAUGUAUGUUCUGGAUGAAACUUAAAGUUGUAUUUGUUUUUGUUUUUACUGAUGUUGUAGUUGUUGUUUAUUGGUUCGGUGUGUGUUCAAUAAAUAGACUUUGUUCCAUCUUUACAUAUUUCUCUUUGUUUUCUUUUUGCAAAAAGGGACGGUAAAAUUACAAUAAAAUCAUUUUGAAAUUUAUGUAUUCAUCAGUUGUUUUUUUUUUUGUUGUUUCUUGUUCUACAAAUUUCAUCAUAAAUAAUUUGUAUAGGCAACUGAAUAAGUUCAGUUAAUCUCAGUGUAUGUGAGUGUAUGGACGACGUGUGUGUGUGUGUGUGUGUGUGAGUCUAUGUAUGCAUGUGUGUGUCUUAAAUAUAA
Drosophila arizonae is the source of this 510-nucleotide long non-coding RNA. The record is from RefSeq and is a predicted model, not a curated record. Lineage: Eukaryota; Metazoa; Arthropoda; Insecta; Diptera; Drosophilidae.